RNAcentral lists this ribosomal RNA (569 nucleotides) under uncultured bacterium. Its description in RNAcentral is "bacterial SSU rRNA". It matches the Rfam family "Bacterial small subunit ribosomal RNA", at positions 337 to 917 of the family's 1533-position model. The record is from RNAcentral.
UCCUACGGGAGGCAGCAGUGGGGAAUAUUGCACAAUGGGCGAAAGCCUGAUGCAGCGACGCCGCGUGAGGGAUGACGGCCUUCGGGUUGUAAACCUCUUUCAGCAGGGAAGAAGCGCAAGUGACGGUACCUGCAGAAGAAGCGCCGGCUAACUACGUGCCAGCAGCCGCGGUAAUACGUAGGGCGCAAGCGUUGUCCGGAAUUAUCGGGCGUAAAGAGCUCGUAGGCGGUCUGUCGCGUCUGGUGUGAAAUCCCGAGGCUCAACCUCGGGCUUGCAUCGGGUACGGGCAGACUAGAGUGCGGUAGGGGAGACUGGAAUUCCUGGUGUAGCGGUGGAAUGCGCAGAUAUCAGGAGGAACACCGAUGGCGAAGGCAGGUCUCUGGGCCGCAACUGACGCUGAGGAGCGAAAGCAUGGGGAGCGAACAGGAUUAGAUACCCUGGUAGCCCAUGCCGUAACGUUGGGCACUAGGUGAGGGGCUCAUUCCACGAGUUCCGUGCCGCAGCUAACGCAUUAAGUGCCCCGCCUGGGGAGUACGGCCGCAAGGCUAAAACUCAAAUGAAUUGACGGA